Molecule: long non-coding RNA, 315 nt
Filed under: Homo sapiens (human)
Lineage: Eukaryota; Metazoa; Chordata; Mammalia; Primates; Hominidae
Description: HSALNT0232803
Source: RNAcentral
GUUGUGUUGAUCUCCCCCAUCUUUUCCUUGUUUAGUCUUGCUGCUUUCACUGUCAGAUGCCCCAGACUUGUAGGAAACACCCACAGCCUUCCUUGAUUCUCUCUCCCUUGAUAACCUGCCUUCAGACUAUGUGCCUUGCCACCAUCUUCCUUCCAUCUCAUGUUCAUGCUGCUUUGACUCAUUACCUCCCUCCACAGUUCUGUAGUAUCCUCAUCUCCCAGUUCCUCGCUUGUUAAGAGCUGCUUAGCUUUAGGUCUUUAGCUUUUCUUGCUUUUCUGCCUAAGUGACCCUGCCUUAAGGAACCUGCCUUCUAGC